CAAACAUGACCUGUGAUUUAAUAUAUAUUCUUUCCUUCAUGUCAGGCUUGGAGCCUCGUCAUUGGAUGACCUGCAACCCAGGUGCAUGAAGAUACACGUCAUUGGUAAGACUUCUACCAGGGAAGGCCUGUAGAGACACAGGUUCCCUAGGAGCAAAAAUAAAGCUACAGCUAGGGGAAAAACAGAACAAAAAUAUGUGCGGUCUGAAAUCUGGAUCAGGAAACAGGGGUAAUAGAGGUGUCUUAAACAAGAUGAUAGGUUUAACAAGAUCUGCAUUCUGAAGCAAAGUCACUUAAUCAAGAAUGCAAGCCAAAGGCCAAGUAGCCAGGAUCAGGAAAGGUAGGAAGUAGGAACUAAAAUGCUGGAAACCAUUACAAUAUGCAGUUAAAAAUUGCUGAGACCCUCUCCCUUCAGAUAUGUUUCCCUGCCCUUCUUCUUCCUUGAUGAUCCAACUCAGGAUUAAAGUGCAGUUGUAAUACAUGCCACAUACGCUCAUCACUGCUGUGUUGCAGUGCCAGGCAAACCAAAAUCACAGAUCCUGCAAUGAUUCUGCCAUCUGCAUAUCCCUUGCAUAGUUUUGUUAUAGGAGAGCCAUUACAGUUUUGUGAUAAAGUUAAACCUGACAACUGCAUUCACCUUCUGUUUCAAUAUCUCUAAGAGUGAUGAGCUUGAUAGCUAGAUCCCAAAAUGCAUAGUGUCUGCUUACUCUAGCCAAAGGUUGAGGUUGGCCCAAGAGGAAGGCUUCCAGCGGAUUGAACUUCUGGUACAGGUGCAUUAGAAUAACCAGCACUUUCACCAGGUUGCCAUGGGACUUUAUGGGGUGGGUCUGGGCUAGGGUAAAGGACUGAUUCAAGGGGUUUGAUAAACCACCAUCACAGGUCUCCAAGUGUGUUUGAUUUUCACAUUGUACAUACACCUGCAGUGUUAAUAUGAGUAGUACACAGAAUGACACAUACCCACAAACGUAGAGCCUUUACAAUCAUGAGAAAGGCAAAGGGUCAAAUAUAAUUAUAAUAAUAAUUUUUUUUUUUUAAAGUAACGUCUAAUUAUAUAUGUAUUUUGUUUCCAUCACUCAUUUUAACAUAUAAUGUUUUAUUCUUCUAUUCCAUUUAGUCCUUCAGAAAAGGUGUAUAUUGAAGGGACACUUCAGGACUUGUUGUUAUUAGACUUCAAAAUGCAGAUAGUCUAGUAAUAAGAAGUAUUCAAGAUUUUUUUGCAUGCUGGUAAUUUUGAAAAGUAAGGAAAACCAUGUAUUCUUUCUCUACCACCUUUACUCCUCUGCUUCUCUAACAUUAAGUUUGCAUUGUGUAAGAGACUUGUAAAUAUACUCAUUAGCUUUUAUUGGACAUUAAAGCUCAUUUUAAAUAAUAAUUGUUAUUUAGAUAAAACUCACCAGUAUAAAGCUUAUUUGACCACCAAGAAUCACAAUUCUUCACGAUUAGGUUAACAUUUUUCUAACAUGGAACAAGGUUAUGCAUUCUUAAAUUUUACCACUAGAUGUCACCUUACAACCAGGAAAAUCCAUCUUGAGCUACAGUCUCAAGAACAAUCCCUUAGCAAUGAUUACAAUGCAAAAAUGGGACACAUUGGUAAGUUUAAUAUGUUACUUUUAUUUAAUAGAUCUAUAAUUACGACCUCAUCAUUUUGGGAUAUUUUUUUCUUCAAUUUAAAGUUUCUUAACGUUUUGCAAUAUUAGAGUUUUCAUAAUGGCUGGUAAAAUAAUAGAAUCAUAAGCAAUAUUUGGGGGACACUCUAUAAUUUUCAAGAACAAAGAAAGAAGAGAUCCAGAGGGAUAAGCAUAACAGAGAAAAGAUAUAAAGAAAAGAAAAUGGGUGGGGGAGGGGGAUCAGACAUUAAAAUCGUCAUGGAAAUAAAAAGCAUGCAGGACAGUUGCUCUCAAAAGUACCAAAUCUCUGAAAAGUGCCUCAAGUGCUGUUAGCUUGUCCAUUUUCAGAACAUAAGAAACUGUGUGAUUUAUUUUCAUGUAGAGGGCAAAGAUGAAAUCCAGGGUAGGGACUCAUGAUGAAGAAUGCAGUUUAAAAAGGGUAUAUCGUAUUUUCUAAUUAAUACAACUAAAAUGGAUUAUGAUGGAUUAGGUUUGCCAGCUGUGCAUAGGAAAAUUCCCAUUAUGAUUGACUUAAAGGAAUGCUAAAAGUAAACUUUGAAUAUUAUUAUUAUUAUUAUUAUUAUUAUCCGUGUAUUAAUUUUUUAGAAAUAAUUCAAUAUUUAUUGUAAAAUAAAUUAUUUUUACAAAAAAUCUGAAUUUUUGCAAACACAUUGCCCACAAUUAAAAUGUUCUUCUUAUAUGUAUAACUCACAUUUUCUAUUUUGGGAUUAUGGUAAAAGACAUUUUAAAUAUUUUCCACUGCAUUAAACAACUUCCAGUACACUAGAGGUCAUCUCAAGCAUUUUGUGUUGUGAGAAAUGAUAUGUACUUCAGUUUAACAUGAGAAUUACAAACCUGACCAUCUGUCUUUAGCUAGGAAAAUUAAAAUACAAAAUCUAUUAUAUAAGUAUUAGCUUCCUUAAGACCUUUGCAUUGAAGUUUCAAUCCAUCUGAUAUAUACAUUAAUUUUUUUAAAUUAAAUUAUUCUUGUUUUAAAAUCUUUCACAUUUUAAACAUAAUGUCUUUCUAUUCUCCAUAUCUCAAUAAGUCUAUGCGCCAUGUUUCUAUAUCAAAACCUUUGCAUCUAACCAACAAGUUUAUAAAAGUCCAUAGACUGAUUUCAGACAAUAUUGUAAAUAUAAUGUGACGGCAGAAAAGAACCAUUUGGCCCAUCUAGUUUUGAUUUCCUACCCCUCCCAACCCAGUCUAUUUCCCGAAUUCUAACUGCCAUUACAAAUAUAUUAGUCUGUCUGUCUUUUCCCUAUUAUCUUGUCUUGGUACAUAUAAACUGUCUUGCUCUCUAGCUGCAGUGGUGAUUCAUGUAUAGAGGAACUUGUGGCAACACCCCUCCAAAUAAUUGUUGCUAUAAUAAUAAUAAAUAAAUAAGCAUGUAAAAAAUAUUCUGUUGCCAGUGCUAACAGUGUAUGUAACAGAGGAGGGCUAGUCCUUGGCAUGAGAACCAGACACGUCUUGACACCACUUUUGUCUAUAUUCUUCUCCCCAGUUGACUAGGUUCCAUACUAACAGGCCUGAAAACUGUUGCAGAGUCUACCAAUAGUAACAGAGCUGGGAGUUGCUUAAAACUUCAUCAGCCACCACUGGAUAAUGGACUAAUAUGGAGUUAAUUUCCUUAUAUAUUUCACUAUUGAGAUACUCAGUAAAACUCACCUAUUAAGAUCUAUCAAGUUUUAUAUUUUAUGUGAUGUAUCUUGCUUUGCAGAAAUUAUUGGAGCAAUGUAAGCAAUAUAUUAAUGUUAAAUAUUUGGAGAUGAAGCUUAGGCUAGUUUCACCGAGAUAUACUUAGCACAUAAGUAAUAAUCAUCUUUAUAUCAACAUGGUUGUAAAACUAACAAAACCUAUGCCCCAUUUUAGUUACUACUGGACAACUAAGAACUCGACAGUGCUUGCAAUUAAUUGUAAUUUUUACAUCGUUCAUAGUAGACUGGGCUGGUAAAAAGAUUCAAGUCUAUCAAUUUAACCUUGUAACAUAUAUGUGACUGUAAAAACUCAGUGAAAACAGCCACUGUAUGGACACAAUAUGUUGCUAAGUUGCAACCAAGCAUCAAAUGUUGGGAUCCUGCAUUAAAAUAAUUGUCAGACCAGUAGUUACUCAUGUGUCUGUCAAACAAUUACAUCACUUCCACUUUAGCUAUCUAUUCCUGAAGAUGUUCAACAGAGAGGUGAAUAAUAUCCUGUGAAGAUUUGUUGAGGAUUCCUUCACAUUUUGUCACUAAAGGGUACACUCGGACCACAGAACCACAAUCAAACAAUCAUAUAGAAGAAAACAUAGUGCACUCCAUUAAUGCAAUCCGUUUGUUGUGGCACACAUUUGAAAUAUUAGACAAUGCUUCAGUUAGCACUCUAUAUUAUCUAUAAUCCAUACAACAUUAAAUGUAUAGUGUAUUUUGAGAACAUGUGGUUUGUGGUUACCAUGGUUACAAACGGGUAAAUAAAAACACAUUGGUAUCUACAACAUAAGUGUAUACACAAAUAUAUGAUGUCAUUCACUCAAAAGCAAUCAUAAAAGUAAUAAUAAAAAAUAUACUUGGGAUCUACAUCCAAUAUACAUCAUAUAAAUUAUCAACUAUGUAUAGUACAAUACUCCCAAAUCAUUGGCAUUAAUAAACAAGCCAGCUAUAUGAUUAUGACUGACCUCGCUAUUCCAACAGUUUACUCUUGUAGGUCAGCUUAAACUGAUGAUUAAUUAAUCCUUGAAAGUUUUGAAAGUGUUUUUCUUAAAGUUUUACUCUUUAUGCUAAAAUCGUCCCACAAUGAUGUAUUAUUUACAUAAUCACUAUCCAAAAUACAUUUUCUCUCAAUCAUUAAUAAACAUCCCCUGUCUUUGUUCUCAUCCAACUGGGUGAUAUGUAUAUGCUCAAUAACAAAAAGCUGCUGUCUAAUAUAUUCUUUUAAUUCCCACCAUCAGCUUAAAAAAAAUCCAGAAUAUUAGGGAGCACUCAUUUUAUACAUACAAUUAUACAUGCAUUAAUUAAGAAAUCAAAAAACAAGAGGUUUGCAAAAAUCACUGUAGUUGCAAUUUCAUUAAACCUUGGGGGAAAUUUAUUAAUGCAAACAGGUGCUAAUCAAGGGUAAAGGGUAAAUAUUGACCAUUCACCAUGAAAAGCAGAAAAAUAUCUUUCAACAAUUAGUAAUUUGCAUUCAAAAUAGAGCCUGUUUUGUCUUCAUAAGUGUCCCACGGUGUGUCUUUAUUACUAUAAAAACAUUUUAACUAUAGUUUUGUUAAAUAGGAUAAUGGAAACAUUUUGGUGUAUACUCAUACCACUGAGAACUUCUUUCUUGAAAGGGUAAUUAUUUUACUGAGUUUAAUUCCUUUAUACCAACACAAGCAGGCGUCUGUAAUUCCAGGUGUAAUCUCAGGUACGUAUGACUGUAACAAGGUGUCCAGUCCUUAUUUUGGCAUUACAAAUAAGACACAUUGCAUGUUCUAAAUAACAUAUGUUAUUAUUAUUUAUAAAGUGCCAACAAAUUCCACAGCGCUGUACAAUGGGUAGAUUAACAGACACGUAAUUAUAACCAGCCGAGUUGGACGCACAGGAACAGAGCCCUGCUCAAUGAGCUUACAUGCUAGAGGUAGUGGAGUAUAGUGACACAAAAGGUUUGGGUAGGAUAGAAAAGUAGGAUGCUGGAAUAGUAUUCACUGAGGGGUUAGUGGCUCAUUUAAAAAAAAAUUAUAAUUUACUUAUUUCUUUUAUGACAGUUGCAGAAGAGGAAUCAGGAUGCUCGGAGAGAAAGCUGUUAACAGUUUAACUAAUAUGCUUUCCUGAAAAAGUGAGUUUUCAAUUAUUUUUUUUAAUGGAAUGGAGACUGAGUGAAAGUCUAACGGAGAAGGGAAGGAAGUUCCACAGGAACAGUGCAUCCCUAGAUAAGUCUUGAAGGCGAGCAUUAGAGGAGAGAGUACCGACAGAGGAUACAUAUAGUUCAACAUCAGAGUGUAGGGGCCUAGACGCCUUAUAUUUGUGUAUUAGAGAGGAUAGGUAGGUUAGAGCAGCAAUAUAUAGAGAUUUAUAAGCAAGCACCAGAAUCUUAAAUUGUUCCCUAUACCUUAUGACCGAGGGACUGGCAAGGGGCAUGGGACUCUAGGGAUUGAUAGAGGGGGGAGGCGUGGGAGGUGUGGGCAGACUGGAAGAUGCUGCCACAUUUAUUAUAGACUGUAACAGGAAAAGUUGGGAACUAGUAAGACCACUGAGAAGUAGUCAAGGCUAGAGAGGACAAUGGCAUGGACAUUAAAUAAGGACGCAUGCGCGCUUUGAUUUUUAGAUGGACAUAAGGGGUGAUUUGAUUUUUAGACUGUACAUAAGGGGUGAAGGAGAGGUCGGAGUCAAAGAGAACACCUAGUCAGUGAGCCAGCAAGGUAGAGCUGAUGAUAGUGCUGUUGACUUGGAGUGAGACAGACACUGGAGUAGCAACACUUGAUGGAGGAAAGACCAGAAGUUCUGCUUUGAACAGGUUGUUUUUAAGGAAGUGAGCAUCCAUCCAGUUGGAAAUUGCAGAGAGGCAGUCAGAGUCAAGAUUUGCUGAGAGAGAUCAGGAGAGGACAGAUAGAUUUGCACGUCAUCUGCAUAGAAAUGAUAUUGGAAGCCAAAAGUGCUGAUGAGUUUACCAAGGGAGGCAGUAUAGAUCGAGAAAUUUAUUGGACUAAGGACAGAACCUUGGGGAACAUCAACAUUGAGGGGUUGAGGAGAAGAGGCAGAGACAGAAACACUAAAAGAGCACUGGGAGGGGUAGGAGGAACACCAGGAGAGAGCAGUAUCAGACUGAGAUUACAGAGGAUGGGAAGAAGCUGUUGAUGAUCAACAGUGUCAAAUGCAGGAGAAAGGCCAAGGACAAUUAGGAUAGAAAAGUGACCACAAAAUUUAGCAGUGAUUAGAUCAUUGAAUACUUUGGUCACAGCUGUUUUGACAAAGUGACGAGCUCGGAAUCCAAAUGAAAGCAGGUCAAGCAGAGAGUUAGAUUUGAGGAAGUCUGUCAAUCUUUCAUGCACAACUCUCUCAAGGCAAACAGCAGUAACAAGAGAGGGCAGUAAUUGGAUGGGGAGUUAGAGUCAAGGUUGGGAUUUUUCGGUAUCAGAUUUAGAGUUGCAUGUUAUUAAAUCACUAUAAAUAAGCUAUAAAAUAAAAUACCCGUAUUUUCCGGCGUAUAAGACGACUGGGCGUAUAAGACGACCCCUAACUUUUCCAGUUAAAAUAUAGAAUUUGGGAUAUACUCGCCAUAUAAGACUACCCCUCUUCCAAUGCACACCAAAUAAAAAUUAGCCAUUAUGUACAGUGAGCAGACAGAGCUACACAGCAAGACAUUAAAUAAUGAUAAUCUGAAAUAGCAUUUAAAGCCCAGGUAUGUGCCAGGCUGUUUGGGCAUAUAAUCCAUGCCUGCUGGUCUAGCACACAGGAGGCCAAUUGCGAUAUAUUAUUUUUACUCCCCCCCCCCCAAUCCUCCCUACAUUCUUACCUCCCCUUCCCUGUGCACUUCCUUUCAGUCCGGCCGGGAACAGGUAACUGAAUCUCCUUUUCCCACGCGGUACCUGGCUGGACCGACAGGACGAAGAGGAGCUCUGCCACCCACUCUGCACAGGGAAGGGAAGGGGAGGUGAGAAGAGAGGCAGUGCGGCAGCCGUCUGAGCGCUCUCUAUAGAGCGCUCAGGCGGCUGCAGCAUUAGAAGGGCCGGCGAUGGGGGCGCAGGGCGCCCCCGGCAGCCAUAUAGACCCUAUACCUGGCGUAUAAGACGACCCCCGAAUAUGGAGAAGAUUUUCCAGGGUUAAAAAGUCAUCUUAUACGCCAGAAAAUACAGUAGUUAUUCUCUCAUUUUCUGAGUUGGAUAAUGACGCUGCGAGAGAUGGAGUUACAUGUCUGGCAGCACAUGUAUCCAAGGCCAACAUAUAAAAAUGCAUAACUGGGUUUAAGAAUCACCAAAUCUGAGCCCAAAGCGAUGGAAAACAUUAUUUUGUCUCAUGAGUCAUCUUCCUAACCAUGUUCUACAUCUGGAUGGGUUUUCAUUUAAAGGAAGCAGGGGAGGGCUGGCAACAUAUGGUCUGUGCGGUAAGUAGAAAGUACUGGACUUUUUUUCUCACAAAACUCUCUGUUGAGGAUCCUACAGACAUGGAGCGCACAAUAUACGAAUUUGACAAAUUGCGACUAAUGGAGUUUCGUGGUGUGCCAUCUUAUAUCCCUACAACUUCUAUAGGCAUGAUCUGAGAAGCCAAAUUGGUCUGUGCAUGGCAAAAAUGCACAAAACUGUUUCCCACAACUCAAUUCCCACCAGUGAAAACCAGAGAUGUAAAUAGCAUUGUCUCCUCCCCUAAGGCCAUUUGUGAUUCCUGGGUAAUCACACUUACUAAUUCAACUGGCAGCCUGCUUGUCCCCAAAUACUCACAAGAAAUUUUUCACUGGGUUAGGCUAUGAAUGGAAAAGAACGAGAUUGUUUGUAACCAGUUAAAGAACAAACACACUGUGCUGGAAUAAUAAAGAGCCUGCACAAUUCCUGCCUGUUGCCUCACUCGUAUAGUAAUAAUGAUAAUUGGCAAUUUUUAUAUCAAUUUUCUCCCUGUGAAACUCAAAUUACUUGGCAAAUUUCAUAAAACAAACAAAAAAGUAAAGAGUUUGUAAUAGUCAGAUGAGCUGACCGAACGUCUGAGAAAAGUGUUGGGUCAUUUUUUAAAGUCCGUAAGGUUGGUGCCUCUCUUGUAAUGAGUUCUAGAAUGUGGGGGGGAGCAUGGCUGCUGCAUUUUGUACUGUAGGCGAUUGAGUUAUUUUUCUGGGAGGCCCAGAGUAGAGUACAUUACACUAAUUUAGACAAUAAUAGUAUUCUGCCAGCAAUCAUCCCAACAAAACUCCCACUAUUUUAUUCUGUAAAAGAAUGGUGAAAGGCUGUAGCCCACAACCACUGUAUGGUAUGGGCUAAGGGGGCUAUUAUCUUUCAUAUACUUUCAUAUUCCAGGGUCAUAAUGGUGGUCAUUAUUGUACUAAUUGGAGACUGGUUUCAUGAACUUUAAUAUGAUGUUAAACACUUUCUAUAUAAACUAUCAAACUUUUAUAAGAAAUCCUGAAGCAAACAAUGGAAAAGAGAAAUAUUUAAAAAAAUAUAAAUGUAUCUAACCAGGAAAGCACAUUUAGUUUUUCCUGGACAAUCCAUGGCAGCAUCAUUAAUGAGUAGCUCCUACCCUCUCGGCUAACUGGAGAGGAAGUAAAAAUAAAAGCAUAUAUCUCACCUAAUCCUCAAUUUGUUUUAUGUCCUUUUUGCUACUGGACAAUUCUUUAGCUUAAAUAUAUAGAUAUUCCCAGUAAUUUUUAAGUUUUCCUCAUCUUUGUAUUUUAAUUAUUUAUUAAUAUUAUUUAUUUAUUUUUAACUUAAAGUAGUUGAGCUUAGCUACAAAUGUAAGUGUUUCCCUGGGGAGUUUGAAAUCUCCACCAGGAAGUCCCCAGUUUGAAACACCUUGUAAGGGAAGCAUCCUGGGAAAAGAAUCAGGUUGAAGAUAUAUCUUUACCUAUGGGUCAGUAUAUGAUAAGACUUUUUUAAGCCUUGAUCCUGCUGAAAUUGGUAUGCUGCCUGUGGCAUUUAGAAAAUUGUUCCGUUCAUGUCUGCGCCUUCUGUGUUCCCCCUUUGCUACAAUAGCCACAGUGAAGAAUCAACCAAUUCCAUAUGCCUUCUGCAGAAGAUGCCACCCUCACUCUGGCAAAGGGAAUAGAUGCCCUGACCAUGAAGUGGACAUCUUUUCCUUUAAUUUGGCAUAUCUUCAAUAAAGUCAGAAAGUAACAGGCAGAAGUAAUUGCAAUAAUAAUUCUUUUGUCUGAAGAGGACAUGUUUUUUCUAUACUUGGAGGAUUCCCCAUCGGCAAAUGUCUUGAGUCAUAGGGUUCCAUUUUUAAUUAGUCUGAAGUCAGGCUCAAUUUAAUGGCUUGAAAGUUAAUCUUUAAAAGAUUUAGGUGUGACAGACAGCCCAGUCACCCAGGAAUGGUACAUGUCUCCCAACCACCAUCUCCCUUUAAAAGAGCUAUUUUCGGGGGGGCGUGGCUAACUGAGCAACGAGCAAGACGUGCUUGAAAGGAGCUCUGCACCAGAGACCCAAAUACCAGGAGAUUAACCUACCUAAAUGGCUCCCAUGAGCACGGAUACACCCACCCCUCAACAGCUGACACGAUGGGGCGAAAUUUUUUUAAAAAAACACGCACCAGAGAUUCAUAAAAUGCCUGAUAUCAGGCUUUCGUUUGACAGGCGCGAGGCCUCCAAGAUGGCGCCGGCAAAGCAAAGCAAGGAUGAGACAUCUCAAGAUGCGGAGCAGCCCAGGGGGAACAGCCCUGCGAGCGGCACGAACAGCGAGUUCCAAAAGGGACAUUAAAUGCCUUCUUACUGAAAUGAGGUAAAUAUGGAAGGAGGACCUGCGGCCGACACAGGCAGAAAUAGGCACCCUGGGUAACAGACUCAUGGCAGUAGAGUCCAAGGACGGAGAGAGGGAGACACAGCUGCGGACCGCCCAGAAGGAGAUCCAAGGCCUGGCCCAACAGGUCCAAAACCUAACCAAGAGGGUCACAGUGCUAGAGUCAAGGCACAGGAGGAAAAAUAUCCACAUCAGAGGAGUACCAGAAUGGAUCUCAGGGGAUGACCUCCUGCCCUUCCUACACCGUAUGCUGACCCACAUGAGAGCCAAAAAUGGAGUUGCCUCAGAGAUGGUGGCGACCACAUUCCAGAUCCAAAAAGCUACCGUGGCCCCAGCGGAGGUGCCCAGAGACAUCAUUGCUGUAACCAAGAACAUUGCAGCCAGAUCUGCCAUUAUGUCUUGCUCGAGAGAGCUAAAAAAUGUGAACUUUGAGGGCUGCAUGGUAGCUAUACACGGGGAUCUCCCAUUCGCUGUAAUAGUGGCGAAAAGGCAGCUAGGCCCAGUUGCUGGUAGUCUGCGGGAGGCAGGGGUUAGGUAUAGGUGGGGGGCGGACAGACCAUUGAUUACACAGAGAGGGGAGGAAACACUAACCUUACCCCCUGAUGGUGAACAUUCCUCCAGCGCCUACUAGAAACAGACACAAUCCCGAAAAGGGCCCCUAAGGCCAAGUCCAAUGCCCACCGGUGACUCGCAGACCUGCCAUACACAUAGUCGGGACACAGACCACCAGGCCAGCAGACAGCCGACCGACACAAAGGCCCACGAGCAAGUAAGAGAGAGCCUGCACUAGCACUACAUGAGCAAGUUAACUCAGUGGGACACAUGUAAAUAGUUCUGUGCACUUAUUUCAGCCACCUUAACCGUAACUGGGAACUCAAAACCGCCAAAGUAUAGAAAGAUAACACCCCGCAAUAGUUCACACGGAUAGACAGGACAACUUGACAGAGGUCCCCACGUUAAACUUAUCCCUAUACUGUACAAUAUCGAGAUGAACAGAAUUCUUUGUCCUAAAUACACAGUUGAUGUUGAUGUAUCAUAGAUGGACCAAUGUUGUUAAUUUUCACAAUAUGAUACAGUCGUGUUUCUAUGUAUGGAAAUUCAAUAAAAUACGAAUUGAAAAAAAAAGAGCUAUUUUCACCUGGAUUUCCCCUGCAGUCCAUGCCUUGCAGCUCAGUGCCCUUUCCAGUGGCCCCAGAAGCAUCAUAGACCCGCAGGAAGGUUGCAGAGGCAUGGUCUAUGACCAGGAGCAGCCACCAACCUCUCUAGAACUCUUGAGCAGAUGGCAGAAGAGCUAUGGUCUGGUAAACUUUAUCAAGGGCACCUAUAAGAACAUUAUUUAGAGGGGUGAUAGACGCGGUGGUGAUGCAAUAAAUGGUACCCAGGACUUAAGGGAGCUUCAUGUUCCUACUGAAAGCACGAUCAUUUAAGGUGACCGAGGUUUUCCACAAAACCGUACUUCCAGCUAACUCGGGCCAGCCACCUCCAAUUCAAGUGCUUUUUGGAUAGAUUGGGGGCACAGAAGACAGAUUUUCAAGGACACCAUUUGUUUGGGGAUGUAGACACAUGAACCUAGUUAUUUUGUGUGUAAUGUUAACCCCUGAAGUGCCUGGCUUCUAAUUAAAUUGUCCAUCCAGGUAUGGACACCAAGAUGUCAGGAAUGUUGCAAUAUUAUUAUUCUCCUGGGGACCUUUUGUUGAGGCCCCAGGUAUAUAAGUGUGACAAUUACGCCAAUACAUCAGUUCUACUUCACCCUAAGUCUUGGUUAGUGCUUGAGGUGAAGCUAUGAUCCUCUGCUAUGCUCUUUGGGCUAUUAUCAAUGAGCAAAAGGGAGUCCUUGACGAAGACACUCAGUUCCCUUGUGAGUAGAUUGAUACAUUAGGGAUAUCAUUGGCAGUAGUAGCAUCAGGGGCUACUAUUAUUAUUAUUAUUAUUAUUAUUAUGAUAUUUAUAGAGCGCCGUCAAAUUCUGCAGCGCUUUACAAUGGGUGGACGAACAAACAUGUAGUUGUAACCAGACAAGUUGGACACACAGGAACAGAGGGGUUAAGGGCCCUGCUAAAUGAGCUUACAUGCUAGAGGGAGUGGGGUAAAAUGACACAAAAAGGUAAGGCUAGUAUCAGACUAAUGACAGUUGCAGAAGAGGAAUCAGUCAGGAGCUAUUAACAGUUUAAUUGAUACGCUUUUAUGAAGAAGUGGGUUUUUAACGAUUUUUUGAAGGCUAUCAGGGUAUAUUACUUUUGUGGGGUUUCCAUGGGUUUUGGGGGUACUUUCAGGAGGUUGUUAAAUGUUUGUUUUCUGUGCCUGGAGAUAAUUGAGUUUAAUAGAGUUCCUGACUCAAUUAUCUCUCAGGCACAGCGGAAGGAUUAACCUAUUUUGUAUGGGAGUAUCCUGGACCUGAGAGCCAAUAUAAUUGUGUGUAUGUUUUUACUGUAGUCUAUUCUCAGGUCCAGUGGGGAGUGCCCCUUGCAUGAGGACCUGCAUAUGAGGCCAGUUGUGGCAGCCAAUAAAAAGGGUUCCUCUUCACCCUCAAUAUAGAGCCUCGUCUCAUUUGUGGAGGGAACAGCUAUAUUCACUCUGGGGAUUGCCAUACUCAUUAUACUCCCUUGGAUUAUAAUCACUAGCUCUUGCAAGAGCUAUCCUGCUAUACUCUCUGGGGAAGGAGAGGUCUACCCACUGGAAGCUGGAUCCCGGUCUUGGGUCCAGGGUGGGUGGAGGACACCGAGACCCCAACCAAGCUGUAACACUGGCUGCAGGGUUUACGGUGGUUAUGGUGUCUGAUGGAGUGCUUGGAGUACUCGGUGAGCACUAAGAAGAAUGCGGAGUGCCAGGUGGUCCACCCCAGAGGCCAUUUUAGCAACUGGGCAGCAAGCAUUGCCCAGUGGAAAUGAGCCCCCGACCUGCCUCAUAGCAAGUGUGGGUAUUAUUAACACCCAGGGUGUUAUAUUUAUUUAUUUUAAACUUUUUAAUGUGGUUGCUCGCUAGCAAGCUUGGUCCAACCACAACAUAUUUAGCACUCACACUGCCAAGGAUAAUUUAACUAUUUGCUAAUAGUUAAAUAGUUUGGCAAAUAGUUCUGAUUUUUUUAAAUCUUGGCCUGGAUUUAAAACAUUAGACUCUGGAUUUCAGCCAUCCGGUGGCGAUCAGUCUGGCUAAAAAUCUGGACCAAACUCAGGUCCAUUCGUUUCCUGAAUAGCAAAAUCUAGACAUUGUUAAGUAGCCCCAUAUGUAACCUGAUGAUUUUUUCCCCUUUCAGUACAGGUUCAUUCAGACUUUAUUUAGGAACAAGAAGUAGGGAAAUAUGUGACCAUGUGAUUCAAACUAAAGAAGUGACAUACUUCUAUGAUUCACCAUGUGUCUAAGUCUGAGAUGACACAGAAUAAUUUUGUCUCCAUGUCCCCUCGUGUGAGAUUGCCAAUCUCUAAUAUCCAUGUGAUUUUGACAGACUGACAGCAGAGGAUUUCUGUAUGCUGCUGAAUCACUGAACUAUUUUCUUGUUGCUUUUUACUGCUUGGAGCAAUACUGGCUGGAAAUGUAUUUUAUGUGACUCACUACAUCCCUAACCUGAGCAUCCCUCCAGGUAGACACCUGCAUGUCCAGACCUAACAGAGAGACACUCCUGUGUCACUCCCUAACAUUUGUGAAUCUCCUUUUAUGUCUAUUAGGCAUUUUACAUAUAUGGAUAAUUGUUAAAUUCUAUAGAUUGUAUUCAAUUUUUUUAAAUUUCUUUUAAGCUAUUAGUAAAGAUCUCCAAAUAAGCUAGAGUCACAACUUAGAAUGGGAUAAAAUAUGAGAUUUAGUGUAGAUAGGUAGCUUGGACAACUUAAACCAGAGUCUCUUCUUUCUGGCCAUCAAUAGAUACUGUAUGAAAGGGGAAAAGGGAAGCACCACCUUAUGGAUGUCCUCAGAUUCGAGUCAGAGUGGAUCAAUAUAAAAAAUAAGAAGGAAAUGGAAUAUGGUGUAGUAUUUUGAUACUAUUGUUGAAAUAAAUAAAAGAAAUGCAAUUACAAUUUUUUGGAGCUUAUAAUUAGCUCUAAAUAUAUGUGCCUGGGCAGUACAAUUUCAACCUGUGGAUAUGCUUUAUGUCAUAUCAGGUAGAGCCAGUAGAUGGCUUUUGGUGACAGAUGUAUAUAGGUGCACUUGGGCAUUUGGGAGUGCCCACUUAUAUGCGCAGAAAUGUAGCAGCAGAAGUUCACCAAUCAAGUAUAUAUAUGAAAUAGAAAUGAAACAGAAUGGACUGAGGUUUUACACAAUCCACAUAGCAUUCGUAGUAUUUUUUCCAAAAAGACAUUCAAUGUGAGCAUAGUCUUCUGGGUAAAAUCAGGAAGGUCCAAUAUUGGUAAAAAAAAAAAAAAAAAAAAAAGCAUUAGUUUUAUGGAGAAUAAAAUAUAAAACUAUAAAAGGGGUAACACACUAACACAUUUCACCUUAAAUACAGGCUUUUUCAAAGUCUUUAUUUUAAUCUUUAAAAAGCCUGCAUUUAAGGUCGCUGCUGGACAAUAACAUGUAUUUAAUCACAGUGAAUAUUGUAGAUAAAACAGUGCCAUACACAAUGCCUAACACUUUCAAACCAGAACACUUGGGUCAGUAAAAUGUAACAUAUGGGACAUGCAAACAACAGAUGAAAUAGUGUUACCAAAUGUAAGUUCAUAACUUCCAGACACUAGGCUGGAACAAGUCAUGAAAUUCCAGGCAGUGCCGACUAAUAAUCUUGUUUUACUUAAGAUACCAAUUUAAACUCAGCAUAGAGUAAAAUCUAAUUACGCUUGAGAAAGGCUUGUCAUUGCCAAAUUAUUCUUGAGAAAGGCUUAUCAUAUUCAUUAUGGUAUACAACAUAGAUCAAUUGGAUUUAUGCAUUUGCUAUUGUGGUUUGUAUAUAGUUGGGUGUAGAUAGAUCUAUCAUUUGUGUAUAUAUGUCUAAUGAAUUUCUUUUAUUCUGUACAUUUUUAUUGUCAUGUAAUCAAGUAUAUUAUUUGUAUAGCCAUGAUCAGGUGUGCAGUUGAUUUAUAUAUAUACUAAUGCCAACUAAUAACACAGUAUUACCAUGUUAUCAGGAAAGGAGGGAAACGUAGAUUUCUCACUGGAUCCUGUCCUAUGACAUACUGACAAUGCCUGGCCAACCAUGGACCUCCUUAGGUAACACGCCUAACCUGCUUCCAUUUUGAGCAUUGG
Pelobates cultripes (western spadefoot toad) is the source of this 15163-nucleotide non-coding RNA. The record is from the annotation of a GenBank genome assembly. Lineage: Eukaryota; Metazoa; Chordata; Amphibia; Anura; Pelobatidae.